AGCAGCCGCGGUAAUUCCAGCUCCAAUAGCGUAUAUUAAAGUUGCUGCAGUUAAAAAGCUCGUAGUUGAAUUUCGGGACCAUCAUGUCGGUCGUGCCUCGGUACGUACUGGCAUUGUUGGUUUCUCCCUUCUGACGAACCAUGAUGUCAUUAAUUUGGUGUCAUGGGGAAUCAGGACUGUUACUUUGAAAAAAUUAGAGUGUUUAAAGCAGGCUCACGCUUGAAUACAUUAGCAUGGAAUAAUGAAAUAGGACGUUUGAUUCUAUUUUGUUGGUUUCUAGGAUCGACGUAAUGAUUAAUAGGGAUAGUUGGGGGCAUUAGUAUUCAAUUGUCAGAGGUGAAAUUCUUGGAUUUAUUGAAGACUAACUACUGCGAAAGCAUUUGCCAAGGAUGUUUUCAUUAAUCAAGAACGAAAGUUAGGGGAUCGAAGACGAUCAGAUACCGUCGUAGU
This 450-nucleotide ribosomal RNA is filed under the name uncultured Glomeromycotina. RNAcentral describes it as "SSU rRNA". It matches the Rfam family "Eukaryotic small subunit ribosomal RNA", at positions 569 to 1024 of the family's 1831-position model. Lineage: Eukaryota; Fungi; Glomeromycota. The record is from RNAcentral.